UCCUCUCUCUGAAAUCAAUAAAGAUAUAUUAAAAAAAAGAAGAGCCAUCCUGAUCGUGUCAUUUCCACACAUAAAGACCUUCAGCUACUCUCAUUGCUUUCAGAGCUGGGCGCUAACUCCUUUGCCAGCACUUAAGGUUCUUUGUAGUAGGGUUUCAAACCUCCUUUUCCAUGUUCCUCUCUUACCCUCCUCUUCAUGUCCCUGAGGUUUCAACUAAACUGCAGAACCUUCUGGUCUCAUAAUGGGCCCAGUGUCUUUUCCUGCAUUUUAAAAUUUGAACUUUGUUCAUGGUCCCCAGAGAUUAGAGUUGGCUUACUCUACUAUAGCCAUGUAAUUUUCUGGCCCUUUCACCACAGCCACUGCCCAUGGCCCUGCUUAUUGUGUUGCCUACGUUUCUUCUGUCCCUCCUCUUCCUCCCAUCCUUACUGUAAACGGAACCUCAGAUGCAAAGGUGGAUAAAAAUCAUUAUCAAGCAGACAUGAGUGGAACCCCAGUUGUUUGCUUAUUGACCUCUCAGACAAGUUACUUAAACUCUAUUUCUUCCACAGUAAAAAUAGGCAGUAACGCCUUACAUAGUCAUUAAGAAUUAACAGAUUAAGUGAAUGAAGUCCUAAGGACAGUGUCACUCAUAUUAUCUCAUGCUGGGCUGAUCUCACUUGGCUGCUCUGCAGCUUUAAGGACUCAGAAGACAUCUUAUCCCUCUUUCCAUCACGUUCUGGGAACCUGAGUGGGUGAGGUGGAGGCCUGGUGGGCCUCUCUGGUGGAUGUGGGCCUCACCUUGAACCAGUCCAGAUCAUAGCUGAAAUGUAGCUCUGGGAGCUAAAUGUAGCCUCUAGUCUGCUUAUUGCAGUAUAAGGUAGGGCAAGGAGAUGGGGACUUGCUACUACUGUGUCACUAAGUUAGUAAAUUACUUUUAGCAGGUAAGUUACUUCUAGUUCCUGUCCAAGCCUGUUUCCUCAUUGGAAAAGGCACGAGUUAGACCCAAUUAUCUCUAAGGGGCUGUGGUCACCUGUCACGGACUACAUCAAAACUAAGUUCUGAAGCCUUCCUAGAGAUUCAGGUUUCUUGCUCCUCUGGGCCUGGGUUUUCUUGUCUGUAACAGAGUUUCCUACUCCAUCCCUUCUGUGGAGGCGUUGAGAACAAAGUUAAAGUGAACAAGUGCAGUAGAAAAUUUAUUUAUUCAAAAAGGAAGGGUGGCCCCUUGCAGGUACCUCUUGGACCCUGGCCAAAGAGGUGUUACCACCUGCUCAUCUCCUCACGCUAGCAUCUAAAAGGCAAAAGUCUGUCCACACCUUACCUUUAAGAGCCUUAAAGGGGAAGUGCAAUGGUGUAAAGAUAAACCACAGAAUCGGUUCUCAAAAACAGCACUUCCAGGCCCUUGCCUUUAAGAACUUUUUAAAUGCAAAGUGGAAAAUUGCAGCGGAUAAAGAGCCAGAACAUUUUAGGAAAAGUCUCUGUGUCUUUACCUUUAAGAAUGUCUUAGAGGUGAGGCAUAUUCGUGCAGAAUACAAAGGUGGGAAAACCCUGUAAGAGAGUCUACAAAGCACUUUUCCAGUUCUCGGUUUUAGGAUCUCUUUACAGGAGAGGUGGUCAAGCGCGAAGUAAUAAAAAGCAAAAUACUGUACCUUGCACAACAA
Molecule: non-coding RNA, 1637 nt
Organism: Miniopterus natalensis
Lineage: Eukaryota; Metazoa; Chordata; Mammalia; Chiroptera; Miniopteridae
Source: RefSeq, a predicted model, not a curated record